Molecule: ribosomal RNA, 465 nt
Filed under: uncultured Klebsiella sp.
Lineage: Bacteria; Pseudomonadati; Pseudomonadota; Gammaproteobacteria; Enterobacterales; Enterobacteriaceae
Description: bacterial SSU rRNA
Rfam family: Bacterial small subunit ribosomal RNA
Source: RNAcentral
CCUACGGGCGGCUGCAGUGGGGAAUAUUGCACAAUGGGCGCAAGCCUGAUGCAGCCAUGCCGCGUGUGUGAAGAAGGCCUUCGGGUUGUAAAGCACUUUCAGCGGGGAGGAAGGCGGUGAGGUUAAUAACCUCAUCGAUUGACGUUACCCGCAGAAGAAGCACCGGCUAACUCCGUGCCAGCAGCCGCGGUAAUACGGAGGGUGCAAGCGUUAAUCGGAGUUACUGGGCGUAAAGCGCACGCAGGCGGUCUGUCAAGUCGGAUGUGAAAUCCCCGGGCUCAACCUGGGAACUGCAUUCGAAACUGGCAGGCUAGAGUCUUGUAGAGGGGGGUAGAAUUCCAGGUGUAGCGGUGAAAUGCGUAGAGAUCUGGAGGAAUACCGGUGGCGAAGGUGGCCCCCUGGACAAAGACUGACGCUCAGGUGCGAAAGCGUGGGGAGCAAACAGGAUUAGAUACCCCUGUAGUC